GACGAACGCUGGCGGCGUGCUUAACACAUGCAAGUCGAACGGAAAGGCCCUGCUUUUGUGGGGUGCUCGAGUGGCGAAAGGGUGAGUAACACGCGAGUAACAUGCCCUUGACUUUGGGAUAACUUCAGGAAACUGGGGCUAAUACCGGAUAGGAGCUCCUGCGGCAUGGUGGGGGUUGGAAAGUUUCGGCGGUUGGGGAUGGACUCGCGGCUUAUCAGCUUGUUGGUGGGGUAGUGGCUUACCAAGGCUUUGACGGGUAGCCGGCCUGAGAGGGUGACCGGCCACAUUGGGACUGAGAUGCGGCCCAGACUCCUACGGGAGGCAGCGGUGGGGAAUAUUGCACAAUGGGCGGAAGCCUGAUGCAGCGACGCCGCGUGCGGGAUGACGGCCUUCGGGUUGUAAACCGCUUUCGCCUGUGACGAAGCGUGAGUGACGGUAAUGGGUAAAGAAGCACCGGCUAACUACGUG
This 468-nucleotide ribosomal RNA is filed under the name uncultured bacterium. RNAcentral's name for it is "partial 16S ribosomal RNA". It matches the Rfam family "Bacterial small subunit ribosomal RNA", at positions 28 to 507 of the family's 1533-position model. The record is from RNAcentral.